Molecule: ribosomal RNA, 765 nt
Filed under: uncultured Streptococcus sp.
Lineage: Bacteria; Bacillati; Bacillota; Bacilli; Lactobacillales; Streptococcaceae
Description: bacterial SSU rRNA
Rfam family: Bacterial small subunit ribosomal RNA
Source: RNAcentral
GAUGAACGCUGGCGGCGUGCCUAAUACAUGCAAGUAGAACGCUGAAGCUUGGUGCUUGCACCGAGCGGAUGAGUUGCGAACGGGUGAGUAACGCGUAGGUAACCUGCCUCUUAGCGGGGGAUAACUAUUGGAAACGAUAGCUAAUACCGCAUAAAAGUCGACAUUGCAUGAUGUUGAUUUGAAAGGUGCAAUUGCAUCACUAAGGGAUGGACCUGCGUUGUAUUAGCUAGUUGGUGAGGUAACGGCUCACCAAGGCGACGAUACAUAGCCGACCUGAGAGGGUGAUCGGCCACACUGGGACUGAGACACGGCCCAGACUCCUACGGGAGGCAGCAGUAGGGAAUCUUCGGCAAUGGGGGCAACCCUGACCGAGCAACGCCGCGUGAGUGAAGAAGGUUUUCGGAUCGUAAAGCUCUGUUGUAAGAGAAGAACGAGUGUGAGAGUGGAAAGUUCACACUGUGGCGGUAACUUACCAGAAAGGGACGGCUAACUACGUGCCAGCAGCCGCGGUAAUACGUAGGUCCCGAGCGUUAUCCGGAUUUAUUGGGCGUAAAGCGAGCGCAGGCGGUUAGAUAAGUCUGAAGUUAAAGGCUGUGGCUUAACCAUAGUACGCUUUGGAAACUGUUUAACUUGAGUGCAGAAGGGGAGAGUGGAAUUCCAUGUGUAGCGGUGAAAUGCGUAGAUAUAUGGAGGAACACCGGUGGCGAAAGCGGCUCUCUGGUCUGUAACUGACGCUGAGGCUCGAAAGCGUGGGGAGCAAACAGG